CACUGCACCAGGGGGAAAGAGGGCUGGAAGACCCAGAAAAAAUAUUUCUAAGACCUGGGCCUGAAUGGAUUUAGACCAUUUCUCCCACAACUCAUUGGCUUGAGCUCAGUCACUUGGCUCCAUCAACGUGAAAACAAGGCUGGACAACAAGUCAUCUUCUGUGGCUAGAAGGAAGAAUUGAGUUACCUGCGGUCAACCUCUGUCCGGAAGCAGACGAUCCUCCUUGUGAUGAAUUGUCAGAAGGUCACUAGUAGCCUAACAAUACAUCACAACGCCUACGUCAUUCACCUCACUUCAUCUCAACAUGCAAGCGUUUUAUCAUCUCACAUCAUCACAAGAGGAAAAAGAGCUUCUGAUGUGUCUACCUGCAAGGCCAAGUGCAGUAAUUUGUGAGCAUGAGUUCAUCCAGUCAUUAAUAAAU
Equus caballus (horse) is the source of this 421-nucleotide long non-coding RNA. RefSeq lists it as uncharacterized. The record is from RefSeq and is a predicted model, not a curated record. Lineage: Eukaryota; Metazoa; Chordata; Mammalia; Perissodactyla; Equidae.